RNAcentral lists this ribosomal RNA (1385 nucleotides) under uncultured bacterium. RNAcentral describes it as "bacterial SSU rRNA". It matches the Rfam family "Bacterial small subunit ribosomal RNA", at positions 28 to 1381 of the family's 1533-position model. The record is from RNAcentral.
GACGAACGCUGGCGGCGUGCCUAAUACAUGCAAGUCGAGCGAGCGGAACUAACAGAUUUACUUCGGUAAUGACGUUAGGAAAGCGAGCGGCGGAUGGGUGAGUAACACGUGGGGAACCUGCCCCAUAGUCUGGGAUACCACUUGGAAACAGGUGCUAAUACCGGAUAAGAAAGCAGAUCGCAUGAUCAGCUUUUAAAAGGCGGCGUAAGCUGUCGCUAUGGGAUGGCCCCGCGGUGCAUUAGCUAGUUGGUAAGGUAAAGGCUUACCAAGGCGAUGAUGCAUAGCCGAGUUGAGAGACUGAUCGGCCACAUUGGGACUGAGACACGGCCCAAACUCCUACGGGAGGCAGCAGUAGGGAAUCUUCCACAAUGGACGCAAGUCUGAUGGAGCAACGCCGCGUGAGUGAAGAAGGUUUUCGGAUCGUAAAGCUCUGUUGUUGGUGAAGAAGGAUAGAGGUAGUAACUGGCCUUUAUUUGACGGUAAUCAACCAGAAAGUCACGGCUAACUACGUGCCAGCAGCCGCGGUAAUACGUAGGUGGCAAGCGUUGUCCGGAUUUAUUGGGCGUAAAGCGAGCGCAGGCGGAAGAAUAAGUCUGAUGUGAAAGCCCCCGGCUUAACCGAGGAACUGCAUCGGAAACUGUUUUUCUUGAGUGCAGAAGAGGAGAGUGGAACUCCAUGUGUAGCGGUGGAAUGCGUAGAUAUAUGGAAGAACACCAGUGGCGAAGGCGGCUCUCUGGUCUGCAACUGACGCUGAGGCUCGAAAGCAUGGGUAGCGAACAGGAUUAGAUACCCUGGUAGUCCAUGCCGUAAACGAUGAGUGCUAAGUGUUGGGAGGUUUCCGCCUCUCAGUGCUGCAGCUAACGCAUUAAGCACCCCGCCUGGGGAGUACGACCGCAAGGUUGAAACUCAAAGGAAUUGACGGGGGCCCGCACAAGCGGUGGAGCAUGUGGUUUAACUCGAAGCAACGCGAAGAACCUUACCAGGUCUUGACAUCUAGUGCCAUUUGUAGAGAUACAAAGUUCCCUUCGGGGACGCUAAGACAGGUGGUGCAUGGCUGUCGUCAGCUCGUGUCGUGAGAUGUUGGGUUAAGUCCCGCAACGAGCGCAACCCUUGUUAUUAGUUGCCAGCAUUAAGUUGGGCACUCUAAUGAGACUGCCGGUGGCAAACCGGAGGAAGGUGGGGAUGACGUCAAGUCAUCAUGCCCCUUAUGACCUGGGCUACACACGUGCUACAAUGGGCAGUACAACGAGAAGCGAGCCUGCGAAGGCAAGCGAAUCUCUGAAAGCUGUUUUCAGUUCGGACUGCAGUCUGCAACUCGACUGCACGAAGCUGGAAUCGCUAGUAAUCGCGGAUCAGCACGCCGCGGUGAAUACGUUCCCGGGCCU